GAUGAACGCUAGCGGCAGGCCUAACACAUGCAAGUCGAGGGGUAGGGUUAGCUUGCUAACUUGAGACCGGCGCACGGGUGCGUAACGCGUAUGCAAUCUACCUUGUACAGGGGGAUAGCCCAGAGAAAUUUGGAUUAAUACCCCAUGGUGUUAUGAUGUGGCAUCACAUUAUAACUAAAGUUCCGACGGUACAAGAUGAGCAUGCGUCCCAUUAGCUAGUUGGUGUGGUAACGGCAUACCAAGGCAAUGAUGGGUAGGGGUCCUGAGAGGGAGAUCCCCCACACUGGUACUGAGACACGGACCAGACUCCUACGGGAGGCAGCAGUGAGGAAUAUUGGUCAAUGGGCGCAAGCCUGAACCAGCCAUGCUGCGUGCAGGAUGACGGUCCUAUGGAUUGUAAACUGCUUUUAUACGGGAAGAAACACUCCUACGUGUAGGAACUUGACGGUACCGUAAGAAUAAGGAUCGGCUAACUCCGUGCCAGCCGCCGCCGUAA
Molecule: ribosomal RNA, 496 nt
Filed under: uncultured bacterium
Lineage: Bacteria
Description: partial 16S ribosomal RNA
Rfam family: Bacterial small subunit ribosomal RNA
Source: RNAcentral